UCUCCAUUUGCCCACCUAGGCGUUUCAGCCGGGCACCUUGAGUCGAGCCGCGCGCCGGGCCCCGCAGCGCCAAGCCCUAGGAGCACUGGGCAGGCGCCGAAGAGCGGCCCGAGGCGGCACACGUGAAAGGUGCCCGUCUCGCGGUGCUGGCCAAAGCUCCGCCAAUCUGCGGGAGCCCCUUCCAUCCGCACUCGAAAAUCAAGCGCGACAAUAUCGGGGCACACCGGUCGGCGAAACUCUGGCUCCUUGCUGGCGCAACCGGAAGCACCGACGGGCCGGAAGGCCCCUCAAGCUGACCACCCCUGACCCGUUGGCACGGGCGGCUGGCGAGAGGGCGCUGACCAGCCCGGUCGCCCGGAACGCGAAUCCAGUCACGCU
This 378-nucleotide ribosomal RNA is filed under the name Pneumodermopsis sp. DTLT2001. RNAcentral describes it as "eukaryotic LSU rRNA". The record is from RNAcentral. Lineage: Eukaryota; Metazoa; Mollusca; Gastropoda; Pteropoda; Pneumodermatidae.